UNGAUUUUAUAUCUUGAAACUGCGAACGGCUCAUUAAAUCAGUUAUAAUCUACUUGAUUGUAAAAUCUACAUGGAUAACUGUAGUAAUUCUAGAGCUAAUACAUGCAAAAAAUCCUGACUGUUAUAGAAAGGAUGUAUUUAUUAGGUACAAAAUCAAUGCUGGCACUUGUGUCAGGUUUAUUGAUGAUUCAUAAUAACUAAACGAAGCGCACGACCUUGAGUUGGCGCUGAUACAAACGAGUUUCUGCCCUAUCAACUUUCGAUGGUAGUAUAGAGGACUACCAUGGUUUCAACGGGUAACGGGGAAUUAUCGACGGUAUAAAGAACUACCGAUUUUAAAAAGAGAAACGAGUAGUCGACGAUUCAUUCGAAUUUCUGCCCCAUGCACUCUCGAUGGUAGGAUAGAGGCCUACCAUGGUCGCAACGGGUAACGGGGNAUUGUNCCCNACUUUUUNUUNCUAUAAGNUNGGNUUUUUUGCNUGUAUUAGCUCGAGAAUUACUACAGUUAUNUAUGUNGAUUUUANUAUCGUAGAUUAUNACUGAUUUGAUGAGGUUNGGUU
This 560-nucleotide ribosomal RNA is filed under the name uncultured fungus. RNAcentral describes it as "partial 18S ribosomal RNA". It matches the Rfam family "Eukaryotic small subunit ribosomal RNA", at positions 68 to 382 of the family's 1831-position model. The record is from RNAcentral. Lineage: Eukaryota; Fungi.